ACGAACGCUGGCGGCGUGCUUAACACAUGCCAGUCGCACGGAAAGGCCCUGCUUUUGUGGGGUGCUCGAGUGGCGAACGGGUGAGUAACACGUGAGUAACCUGCCCUUGACUUUGGGAUAACUUCAGGAAACUGGGGCUAAUACCGGAUAGGAGCUCCUGCUGCAUGGUGGGGGUUGGAAAGUUUCGGCGGUUGGGGAUGGACUCGCGGCUUAUCAGCUUGUUGGUGGGGUAGUGGCUUACCAAGGCUUUGACGGGUAGCCGGCCUGAGAGGGUGACCGGCCACAUUGGGACUGAGAUACGGCCCAGACUCCUACGGGAGGCAGCAGUGGGGAAUAUUGCACAAUGGGCGGAGGCCUGAUGCAGCGACGCCGCGUGCGGGAUGACGGCCUUCGGGUUGUAAACCGCUUUCGCCUGUGACGAAGCGUGAGUGACGGUAAUGGGUAAAGAAGCACCGGCUAACUACGUG
Molecule: ribosomal RNA, 467 nt
Filed under: uncultured bacterium
Lineage: Bacteria
Description: partial 16S ribosomal RNA
Rfam family: Bacterial small subunit ribosomal RNA
Source: RNAcentral